UUACCUGAAACUUUUUCCUUUGAAAAAAUGGUACAAAAAUUCAUAUUUUUCUGAAAGAAUAGUUAAACAUAUUUUCUCCAUCAUUAUGUAAAAUGUCUGAUUACCUGUCUUAUGCUAUGCAUGGUGAGCUUAUAUGGCUAUGUCCAUAUUGUACAGGGCUAGUAUUGCCAGGGCAUUAAUGAAACAUUUGGCUAUCUAGCUUGUCUAAAUAUCAUUCCAGUUAUUUUUUGAAAAAUUGAGCUGACAUUCUUUGUUAGUGGAGGAGGCCGGCCUCACCCUCUCUAAUCGAGGUGUAUUCAAAUGCUGGUUCUUUUGGUUGCAAAGCUUUUCUUUAUUAGCAACUUUCAGCAAUUUCAUUUUUGCAGUUUAAUAGAUGAUGGAAAGUCAUUAAAAUUUAAUAUACACUAAGAACAUUUCAGACAGGCAUUACCAUUUUCCAUGAACUUUGCUUGAUGAUGUGCAUUGUUUUUGUUCCAUUUUUGCAAUGCCCUAUUCUUUCGGAACAAUGUAAAUGUCUGGUUCCAAUUUAUUCCCCAGAUGAUAUUUCUCAACGCUUUAUUUGGCUAUCUCUCCCUGCUUAUUAUUGUGAAGUGGUGCACUGCUUCUCAGGCUGAUUUAUACCAUAUAAUGAUCUACAUGUUCCUGAGUCCAGCAGAUGAUUUGGGUGAAAACCAACUCUUUGUUGGUCAGAAAUAUUUGUAGAUGACGCUUUUGAACCAUUUAUUUUGAAGAUUCAACACCAAGCUAGGCAUGGGGAUGAAUCAUAUACAGCACUUCAAACCACAGAGGAGAGCUUGCAAGUGGAGUCAAAUAAUGAUUCUCAUGGUCAUGAAGAGUUUGAGUUCAGUGAAGUCUUUGUGCAUCAACUUAUACACACCAUAGAGUUUGUACUUGGAGCAGUCUCUACCCAAUGUGCUCUAGCAUAACAUGUAGCUGUUUUUAUGACUAGUAACUUAGGCUUUUGUUCUAUUAAUAAUGCUCACUUCUAAAAGCUAUAUGGUUGGAACUUUGUAUGAUGCAUUUACUAUUUAUGCAUCUUCUUUAGAUAUAUUUAUAUAUACGUAUAUGAAACUAUAGUGAUGCAUUAACUAAUGUUUUCCUCCUUUGUGUCCAGUCUUGCGCAUUCAGAAUUAUCAAGUGUAUUCUAUGAGAAAGUUCUAGUUCUGGCAUGGGGGUACAAUAAUGUGAUUAUCCUGAUAGUGGGUAUCGGAGUAUUACUCGUCAUGGAAACCCUGAGUGCCUUUUUGCAUCCUUCUCGUUUGCAUUGCUAGAUGAAGAGGAGGAGUGAUGCUUUAAAAUCAUAUAUAUGAACGUGGGAGUAAUAUUGCUUUGGACCUGUAUUGAUUCUUUCAUUUGCUGUGACUAUAGUCAGUGACUGGUAGCUUUUUUCAUUCAAACACCAUUUCGUAUCUUAUUUAUGCCAAUGAGUGAGGGGAAUAAAUUGUAACGUUGAUGAGCUAGGCAGGCGUGGCUGUAAUAAUAAUUUUAUCAAGACAUAUUGAUGUCUAUUUAAUUUUUUUGUCCCCAAAA
Arachis ipaensis is the source of this 1530-nucleotide non-coding RNA. The record is from RefSeq and is a predicted model, not a curated record. NCBI's taxonomy places the organism in Eukaryota, Viridiplantae, Streptophyta, Magnoliopsida, Fabales, Fabaceae.